UUUCUCCCUAGGUCUGUGCACAGAGAUAUAAACAGACCUGAUGACAACAUCAGUUCUAUUUCACCAGCUUCAUAUCGUAUCAUACUUCUGGCUCAUAGUCUCCUUUAUUAAGGCAAAAUAAUGGCAUUGCUUUUUCCUAUAAGAUGACCCUUCACGUAAGUUUACAGGUUAUUUAAAAUAUUUUACUGUUGUCCAACAAGGAAAGGAAAGUAGCAUACAAUUAGCAAAUGUAUGUAUAAGCCCGGGGAUAAGAAAACAAAUAAAGCCUGUUCCAUCCUUGAGGUGUGGUUUCUCUGCCUACUAGUAAAAUACGGUCCAAUCAUUGUCGUUGUCCAAGCAAAAAUUCAGAUGACCUACACUUUUUGAAUGGGUUUAGAUGUAAAAGAGGUUGGAAUGCCUAAAAUUUUUCAUACCAACAUUUUCCUUCCUAGAGUGAGAGGCUGGAGAUCUCUUCCCAACUCGGGAGAAUAGAAGGAGUAUACCUUAAAGUUCAAAGCUCUUACAGAUGAUCUGCAGUCGUUGGCCCAUGGCUCCCUUCCAUCUUUGAAGGCAGAAAUGUCCAUUGAGUCUUUCUCACAUUACAUCACAUCACAUCAUUUUGACAAUUCCCCUGUCUCCUUCUUCCAUAUAUAAAGAGCCCAUAGGAUUACAUUGAAUUGCAGGUAAUUGUACAUCUCCUUUUAUGUCUAGAUCAACUGAUUAGCCUCCUCAAUCACAUCUGCAACCUAUGUCUCUCCCUGCUUCCAGUGUUUCAUAACAUAGUCACAUUUGAAUUGAAGAUUUGAAUAUGGAUAACUUUAGGGUUCCAUUGUUCUGCUUAUCACAGCAUUCAAUAACAAGUAUUGGAGACGAUGUGAGGCCACAGUCUUUCUUAUUCACCACUGGCAGAGUGUAAAGUGACAAAACCAUUUUAUUAGGAUUGCAAGAAUACUGUGAUAACAAUAAUCUCAUAUCUUAAUAGGCUACCAAACAAGUGUAUUUCUUACUCAAAAAAAUAACUACUAUAAUUCUGAAAAAAGUUUGUAAAGAGGUAUACUUGAAAAACUGUGGUGCAUAAACUGUAUUCCAAGUUUUAUAUCUACAAUAAAUGAUUACGUAAGUACCAAGGGAGACAUGUAACAACAGCUCAGGAGAGCAAAAACCUGAAACCAAACACCCCUCAAACUACAUUUUAUUCACACAGGGAAUAUUGUGUCUCAGCCGCAUAAGCAAAAUGUGGUGUAUUCACACAAUGAAUAUUGUAUCUCAGCCGAAAAGAAUGAAAUAUGUGACUGUUAAGGCAAAAGCAAGUUCUUGGAAAAGUCACUUGUUUCACACUAUGACAGACUGAAUCUUACAAUGGAAAAAAAGCCACACACAACUAAUCAUUCAUUUAAAGAGAAAUGCAUAUUUAUAAAAAAUUGAGAGUAAAUAGUUCACACAAUAAGUUUUAAGAUUAAAUUUAAGUGUCACUUUUGCUUGGAUACCUUUCAGAAAUCAUCCCCAGGUAACUCAGGUUUCCAUAGCCCCCCUACUUAUGUCUUUUAUUACACUUAUCUCACUGUAUUUAUAUGUUUUUCAUGUGUUUUUUUUUUCCCGACUCUUUAUCUAGACAGAGAGCACCUGAAAGAAUCUAACUUAUCUUAUGUUUCUUUUAUUCUUAGCUUCCAGACAAACACUUUCUGAAAAUGGCCAGGGAAUAAAUAUUUAUGUUGUGCUGGCCACAUAUGGUUUAUGUUGCAACUACUCAAUCUCAGCAUUGUACAACAGAAGCAGCUGUAGACAAUAGAUAAAAUAAUGGGUAGGGGUGUGUCCAAAUACAACUAUACUAAUAAAAACAAGCUGAGAGAAGGAUUUUGUCUAAAGCUGGAGUUUGCCAAACAACUAUCCUAGAACAAUGCCCUAUAACUGUGGACACAUAAGCGAAGUGUGUGGCUGAAUUAGCUAAUUAAGAGGUGAAAGUUUUCACAUAUGAUAAAUAGGCAUUAGCUCAUAUUGAUGCAUUUGAAAUGUUUUAACAAAAAUGUGAACUCCAGCAAGUUAGGAAGAAAAUGAGACUUCUGCAAUUAUCAGAUUGUAUAAACUCAUAUCUUAGCCUAGAUUGACAUGGAGAUUAACACAUGGAUACGUGAAUGUGUAUCGUACUACAUCUUCAUAUGUUCAUCUAAUAGUUGUUUAUUGACACGCAGCACUGUAUAAGCCAUUCGUGAUAAAACGGCCCAAAGCACCUUCUGCUCCAUUCUCUGAUGCUAAUUUUAUGUGAACAGUUACAUUCUACAUGUGAUUAAUCAUGCUUUUCAUUUUUAAUUUUUUUAUGCUCCACAUAUUUUGUUUUGUUGCUAGUUUGUGUUUGCAUGGUUUUCUCUACCUAUUGGUGAUUAUAAUUAUGUUUCCUUGUUUAUUUGAUUUAAUAUUUAGUGAAUCAAUAAAAUCUAUGACAAUAUCUUAAUAAUUCUCUAAACUGUCUUAGCAAACUUAAUAAAAAAUAAUUCAUAAUUAAAAGGAGCCAAUAAAACUGUGAAUUAUAUUCUUAAAUAUCCUCAAAAGAGGAAUAAA
RNAcentral lists this long non-coding RNA (2535 nucleotides) under Homo sapiens (human). RNAcentral's name for it is "HSALNT0085598". Lineage: Eukaryota; Metazoa; Chordata; Mammalia; Primates; Hominidae. The record is from RNAcentral.